Molecule: ribosomal RNA, 557 nt
Filed under: Campoplex sp. JC132
Lineage: Eukaryota; Metazoa; Arthropoda; Insecta; Hymenoptera; Ichneumonidae
Description: eukaryotic LSU rRNA
Rfam family: Eukaryotic large subunit ribosomal RNA
Source: RNAcentral
CUUGAAACACGGACCAAGGAGUCUAACAUGUGCGCGAGUCAUUGGGAUCUGUUAAGCCUAAAGGCGCAAUGAAAGUGAAGGUAGGCCUUGCGCCAACCGAGGGAGGAUGGGCCGCGUCACGAUGCGGUCCCGCACUCCCGGGGCGUCUCGUUCUCAUUGCGAGAAGAGGCGCACCCAGAGCGUACACGUUGGGACCCGAAAGAUGGUGAACUAUGCCUGGUCAGGACGAAGUCAGGGGAAACCCUGAUGGAGGUCCGUAGCGAUUCUGACGUGCAAAUCGAUCGUCGGAACUGGGUAUAGGGGCGAAAGACUAAUCGAACCAUCUAGUAGCUGGUUCCCUCCGAAGUUUCCCUCAGGAUAGCUGGCACUCGCGUGUUCUAAGAACUUAUGCGAGUCUCAUCUGGUAAAGCGAAUGAUUAGAGGCCUUGGGGCCGAAACGACCUCAACCUAUUCUCAAACUUUAAAUGGGUGAGAUCUCUGGCUUGCUUGAACUGUGAAGCCACGAGAUUUCGGAUCAGAGUGCCAAGUGGGCCAAUUUUGGUAAGCAGAACUGGCGC